RNAcentral lists this long non-coding RNA (1435 nucleotides) under Cyanistes caeruleus (blue tit). RNAcentral's name for it is "lncRNA (ENSCCEG00000003573.1)". The record is from RNAcentral. Lineage: Eukaryota; Metazoa; Chordata; Aves; Passeriformes; Paridae.
AGAUUUUUCUUUCAGUGAGAAAAAGCUUCUUUUUCAUUGCAUACUUAAUAAUUUUAAAACAUUUUAUAGACUAAUUUCUUUAGGCCUUAAUCUUGACAUUCCUGCAUGAACCACAAAAGCUGAAACUCACAAAAAACAGCCUCAUCAUGAGCUAAAAAUAUGAAAUUUAAUGGUAGAAAUUAGGGAAAGCAGUGGAAAUUACUCUAAAGCUUAUCCCAGACUUCAGUUACAUGUAUGCAUAUAUCCUCUUGCCUGAAGGCACUGCAGCACAGGUGUUUGGGUCUCUCAUUAAAAUGAAUCUCAGUGAUAGCAUCCCCUUAAACACACUCAUGUUUUUAAUUUGCUUAUAUUUGUACAUUCACAAGUAAGCUUACAGGGCUCAUUUUCUUUUGCAGAACUCAUCUCAGAUGUCCAUUAAAUUUCAUACACAUUGAAACUUUUAAGGCUUAGCAAAAAUUAAUUUGGAACUUGAAGAUCAAAAGAUUAUCGUCUGAAUAUAAUGUCUACUGGUCAGCAUCUCAGAAAACUGUGAAAAUGUGAUUGGCUAUGGCCAGGCGAAUUCUUCAGCAAACCUGACAAUAAAAGCAUAUAAAUCCCUUACAGGGAAACAAAUGUUGUAUUAUACUUUGGGUUUAUAUACUUAGGGCUAGCUCUAGUACCAGCUACAAGUACCUAGUCUUUGUGCUUCUGCCUUGUCUCCUUCCCAGCCCCAGGAAUGCAGUGGCCUGAUGGAAGCACCCAAAGGCAGCUGGUCCUCAGUGGCCACUUGGAGCUGCCUGGUUUCCUCAGUUGAUACUAAAGCUGCAGGACAGCUGUGGUUGGAGUGGCACCAUUGGAGGGAUGCCAUGGGAACUAUUAGGUUGAGCACUGCAGACCUGCAUGUGAGCUAAACGCUAAGCUACGUCCAUUGUGCUGACGCCAACACACCUUGGCCGUGGAAGUUUGAAAACCUAGAGAAUGCUAAAUGCAAAGGUAUACAUUCAUACGGACUUUUAAGUAUCAACGAAGAAGAGUGAGGCCAGGCCUUGAACGUUUGGAUCUCUUAUUUGAAAACUUUCAAUGACUUCAUAUACCAGGUGCUAAUAGAACACAUAUAUCCCUUCAAAUGUAUUGCAUUCAAUAUACUGUGUAUAAUAAGGUAAAUUCAAUAUCUCUCUCCAGGUUAGACUGUUCUGUUCCGAAUUGCAGUGCUGUAAAUACAAGUAACUGCACUGAAUCUGCUUGUCAAACCUCUUUUUUAAAAUCAAAUUGACAUGACUGACCCCAGUUUUGUAACUAAGCCACAGCAUGAACUAUUUCUUCUAAAUAGGUAGUUUGCAUAAGGAAUGUAUAAUUUUAGAGAUUUUCCAGGUGCUUGACACCUAGGUUUUAAGAAGAAAGGGGAAAAUACCAACCUCUGAAACAUUAAAUGUGAAGCUUCAAGCUUAUAACAUAC